Molecule: long non-coding RNA, 981 nt
Organism: Lycium barbarum (goji berry)
Lineage: Eukaryota; Viridiplantae; Streptophyta; Magnoliopsida; Solanales; Solanaceae
Exons: 3
Source: RefSeq, a predicted model, not a curated record
CCUUCAGAUAGUCGACCUGCAUUUUAUCUUUGCUUCUUCUACCACUAUAAGCCUCUAUUUGUCCAUCUACCUCAGAAUUACUUUGUUUCAUGAAAUGCUUCUGCCAGCAUCCUAAUUUUGAAUUGUCUUGCUGAAUUGCCCGGAAGUUCAACAAUAUUAUGAGGUCAGGAUUGAUAAAGAAGAAAGGUUUUAAAGGAUUCUUUGGGGAAGCAGCAGCUUCGGCAAAGGUGAAAAGAGGGGUAAGAAAACAAAGAAGGGUAAGGAGAUGGGAGUUCCCAGAGACCACCAGAAAACCUUAUGAUUAGAGAUAGAAGCCCGUCGCCAAGUCUCCCACCACGCGGCGCUCCAUUGCCUCAUGACCCCCUCAUGAACGACAUUGCAUAUAGUCUUCCACCUCCAUACAGCUUUGGCCUGCCCUAUAUGGCUCCACGAUAGGGCUUUACUGAGGCGUCUCCCUUGAGCCCCUCGAUGAUGUUCACACUAGGUUAUGCUAUCCCACAGGGCUUCACUCGGUAUACUCCCGGAUCUCAGCGGGCGGCGUCUAGUAGUACUCCGACAGCUACGCUCAGAUGAGAUAGAAAAACUAUUUAAAGACUCACCUACUUGGGGUCAGAUGUCACCAAAUCGCCAGAGACAGAUCUUUUAUGCGUUAAAGGUAUAUGCAUUUAUUAUUUUUAUUAAAGGGAAAAGGGUCAAUUAUAAUUCAACUUUCCUGGGUGCGCAGAUUGAAAAUUGUCUCAUUGCUGUCCCAUUACAUAAAUAACUUAAAAAAAUUCCGAGUUCACAUAAAAUUACUGUGCCAUUUGAUUGAACUAGAGAAUACUCAUAUUUGCAAAUUGUGAGCUGCAUUGGUGAAGGUCUAAUUUAUCAAUUGGCAAGUCCUUCAGAUGCUAAAUAGGAAAGUUAAAUGUUGUAUGCAUCUUUGAGCUCAGCCAAUACUUCUGAAAUAAUAGGCCUCCGCAAUGCAUCUCCUGGAUCAAA